AUCGCCGCACUCGUUCGAGGUGUCCGCCAGCGCUUCCCGCCGGCGGGUGAAACGGGAAACAGGUACGGCGCGUAGCUGCGCCCAAGCCUGUGCUGCCCCCGCAACGGUAGGUGAGCGCGGGUCUGUCACGAUGCCACUGCAAGAGAAGCGCUUGCGGGAAGGCGACAGAUCCGAUCCCACGAGCCCGGAGACCGGCCUUGCGCGACAAGUGGAA
This 214-nucleotide non-coding RNA is filed under the name Betaproteobacteria bacterium. The record is from RNAcentral. Lineage: Bacteria; Pseudomonadati; Pseudomonadota; Betaproteobacteria.